Molecule: long non-coding RNA, 8611 nt
Filed under: Capsicum annuum
Lineage: Eukaryota; Viridiplantae; Streptophyta; Magnoliopsida; Solanales; Solanaceae
Description: long non-coding RNA (CANN_LNC022219)
Source: RNAcentral
AACCUCAACAGUAGUCUAGACAUCAAUCACCUUGAAUUGAGGGUUAUUCCUUAGGAAAGGUAGCAACAAAAAAGCAAUCAAUUUAGAAUCCAAGUUAAAAUGAUCAACUUGGAUUACACCCAUUUGAUUACACCCAUUUGACAAGUAUGUUUGCCAUAAUAUUUUUCGAUAGUCCAUAAAUUUGUUGGUGUUUUUCGACCUCUCUAUUAUCCUGCAAACUCCAUAUUUUUACAAGCCCAGACUUAAGAUCUGACUCUUUAUCAUUUAACUAAAUUUUACAACUGCCCAGACUUAAGAUCCAAAUCUUUAUCAUUUAACUAAAUUUUACAUCCAACACCCUCUGAUUCAUGGGUAGAAGUAUACACUUCUGGACGAUCUUGAAGAUCAUUUAGAAAUGAAAUGUUCUCUUUUAUGGCACCUCAAUGACUGGUUGUUGAUCAUCGUCAUUAUUAUCACCAGAGUCACUCAUUUUAUCUGACUGAUAUGCAUCAUUUGGAGCAUCACUGUUAGAAUUAUUAUCCGCAUGAGUAUCAGCAUAGGCACUGUUAUAAACUAAAUGGGAGAGCCCAACCCAAAAGACUAGUCUAAUACGUGGGAGAACCCAUUUGGCUUAUAAUUUCCUUAGCAUUUAUCUAUUUUUUCAAUGUGGGACAAUUGGUUCAUAACAGACACCAACUUCUAUCCUAGCUUGUAUUUCAGAAACUCUUGAAAUCUCUGAAAUCUGAGAUAAAUUACUAGUUCCUGCACUAUCUCUAAAAUCAUAAUGACGAUAAUUAUCGACAUCAAAAUUUGCACUAAAAUCAGUACAUACGUGGCCAUAAUUAUCGGAUGAAAUAUCAAUUUGUAGUGUUAUACUCUGUGACAAGAAGCUCAUAAAAUUUUAAUAUUCUGAGAAAUUACUAGUCAUAUUUGUAGAUGAUUUAUAAAAAUCAGAUGGGGGUCAUUAAGAUUCAAAGAGGGUGUAGCAAAAUUUAAAGAGAGAGAAUUCAAAUUAUGUGUAGGUUCAACAAUAUUUAAUGCUUCUGUUUUAAUAUACAUCUCCAACAAAUCAAGAUUCAUCAUAUAACGCACCGUAUCAGGUGCCACUAUAAAACUCUUGCAAAGAUUAAUUAUCAAAUAUGGGGAUUUCAAAAUAACGAGCAUUACCCUGCACAGUUAAAAAUGACCAUCUACCUGAAAUAACAAGCCUUAUCUCAUUUGGACUAGUUUUCAUUCUAAUAUGCAAGUUUCUAACUAGCCAAUCAUACUCAAUAUUUAGUGAAAGUUUAACAACUGCACGAGCACCACAACUAUAUCAAACUGUAUCAGAUUCAUAUAUGACAUCACCGCCCCCAAUGCAAUGCAACUCUAACACGAGACUCAUUCAACAUUUUUAAACCUGUAAAAAUAACUUUAGUUAUUAAUAAAUUAUUUACUCAAUAGGGAGAGCAAUAUACUAAGAAAAAAUUACUAACUUUUUUUACUCCAAUUUAGAUUGAAGGAUACAUCAACUGUAAAGUAUAAUAGUUUUUGUGAAUUUAGUAAUAUACAUGACAAUGAAGAGGAUGUACGUAUAUAUAGAGGAACAAAAAAUAAUUUUGAAGACACUCUGCAUAAGAGUGUAUUUUUAAUUUGUUGGAAAGUGCAUUGCUGUCCAUAAGUCUUUAGGGUAUGAAAAAGUUAUCCCCUAUUGUUCCAUCAAUUCAAAAAAUGACAACCUUUUUCAGAUUCUUGAACAGUAAAUUUCACAGAAGGCUCAUGACGAUUAAUGAACCUUUCUUUAAAAUGUAAAACAUUUACUGAAGACUCGUGAGAGUAGAGCACCUUCAGUGUAAAUAUAUUUUAUUGAGAUGAAGAAAGGGGACCUCAGGUAAAGAUAAAGAUUUUGUGAAGUUGAGAUGAAGUGAAGAUAAAGAAUUUUUUUUUGGAAAAAACUCUCAAAGGUGUUUUUGUAAUUUGACUGAAGGUGCAUUGUAAAGAUGAGUCUUUAAUGUGUGAAAAAAUGGUCUUCUCUUGUCCCAUCAAUUCAGACGAUGACAGUCUUUUCAGAUUUCGAGAUACUAAAAUUUAUGUUGAAGGUGUAUUGAAGAAAAUGAGUCUUUCUUCAAAAAUGUAAAAUUCACGGAAGGCUCAUGACUAUCAAUGAGCCUUUCUUUAAAAUGUAAAAGAUUUACUGAAGACUCAUGAAAGUAGAGCACCUUCAGUAUAAAUAUAUUUAAUGUCUGUCUUUUUUUAACGUGAAAAUUGAACACUGAAGGUGCUCUAUGUUCAUGCGUUUUUACUAUUUUGGUCAUGAAAAAUCUUACAAACCCAUUUAUUGAAAUUGUCCUCUUUGUCCUCUUUUGUUGUUAUUGUUAGUUUGGUCUUAGAAGGAAUACUAAUACAAGUGUGAUUUACAUGGAAAAUAUAGUUAUUUAGUCUUCUCUCUUUCGACUUUUCUAAGGUGUUUUUCUGUAUAAGGGUGCAGGACCUUUUCUUUGUUAAACUAAUUAGAUUGGGUUGUGAUUAUUCAAGUCCAUAAUCUACCUGUAGCUUACAGAAUGUCACGCACUCUAUUUGAAAGAUUGAUAAGCACGUAAAGGGUCUGUUCAUUCUAACAUGGGGACUUCUCUAUUAUCUAGCUAGAGGUUUUGGCUUGCUUGUGUGUUGAAAUAUUUUUUUUUCCUUUCUCAUUUCAGCUCUCUCUCGGUGCUUGUGAUCUUAGUCCAGCUGACCAUAUGAAUGAUUUUUAAUUAACCAAUCCAAAGGCCUAUGCUUAUGUGUUGAAAUCUGUUGGGUCAUCUGAUGACUUAUGUCUCGUCCAAACUCAUUUAAUCGUUUGCUAGUUGAAAUACUCUUAACAAAUUCUGAAAAACUGUGUCUGCAGGGUCCAUAUUCACCCACUACUCGUAUGAGUUUUUCUACACACUUAAAUCAUGAAAUAUUUGGUAACAAAGAAGUGCAAUUUGCAUGUCUUAUAAGUAUCCUAGCCAUAUGUAUUGCUUUAUGAUGUCCAACCGGUACUAUAUAUGUUUAGUAAGCCAUUGAAAUAGUAUAGAUGUGUUUGGAUAGUUAAGCAUCUCACAACUUCAUCUCGAUUACGUAUUACGUGAGAAGUUUGUUUCUGAUAAUUUCUUAUUCAUCUAAAACUUGGAUGAUGGUGUGCAAACUAUUGAAUUAGUUAAGAUCUUGUUUGAGUUUAGAAGAUAACAAUCAAUUUCAAGGAGUAAAGGCCUCAAGAUCAAAACAUUAUCAUCAAAAGGGUUCACAAUGUAAAAUUGUAAAUAUAAAUUCAAAACUCUUUGUAAAUACAUGAUUUCAUAACUUUAAACCUUAUUCAAAACGUGUUCGAUAAGCCCAUGUAGUUUAGGAAAAUCCCACGUACCUUAUGUUGUUUAACUUGAAGAUUGAAACCCAACUCUUGACCCUUUUCUUGAAAUCGUGAACUUAGAGGAAACCCUAAUUUGUUUUUGUUCUUGAAAGUGGAGAGGAUUUGAGAUGUUGUAAAAGUGAUAAAAUUUGAUUAAUAAUGUUUAGGGUGUAAUUUAAUUUGUGGGGUAAGGUUUUAGGGUGAGGAAAAGACCAAAGUACCCCUAAAGAAACCAAAGAAAAUCGUAGAAUUCUUCAGUUGACGGCCAAGGUUGAUGACCCGUCAGUUAGGUGACGGCUCGUCACCCUAAGUAGUCACUUUCAGCUUGAAUUUACCCCUUACUGUCCUAGGCUGACGACUAGAGCUAAUGGGUCGUCACUUAUUUGACGGCUCGUCAACUUUAGUCGUCACCUAGUUGAUAACUCGUCAACUUCGUCGUCACUUUUUGGAAGUCAGCCACUCCAAAGUAAAAUGAACAUAACUUUCUACUCCGACAUCAUAUUAAGGUGAACCAGUUGCGUUGGAAAGAGGACUCGAAGAUCUUUCUUUUGAUAUAUAGGACACGUAACUCAUUAUGUACAGGGAGUAAUGGUCGAUGAAAGUUGACUCAAGCUGAAACAUUCAAUAAAACGUAAUAGAUAGAAACGUUCUCAACUCGUCUUCGAGUUAGGAGAUAUUCGUGACCUAAAUUCAUAUCCAAAGGUAUUCCCACACUAUAAAAUUGAUCAUAACACAUAUAUUAAUAGAGAAUCAUUGGGUUUGGGUCUAUACGUAUAGGAACGACGAUUUGAAAUCUAGCCCGAAAAAUACAGGGUGUUACAAUAUUGGUGGUGCAAGGUACAAAUCUAGACAUUGUAACGCAAUAAUGAAAAGGUAAAAGACCAAGGCUGUGCUCCGAUUGACGGAAAUGUUUUUCCCCAAAAAUAUUUCUUAGAUAAUGAUUUUUUUUCGAAAAUAAGCGAGUGGACUAUGUUUCUUGCGAUUUAUGGGUUCUUACAGCGACCUCAUGUCAAUGUACUAUAGAGGUUCUUAAUAAUUUUUUUUUAAAAUAUUUAGUGGAUUUUCUAAAUGUAUAUACAUGAUCUAGUAAAAGUUACUGGUUCCGUGAACCCCUAGUUCAUCGAUAUCUUUGUCGUGCUAAUUUGGGCAGUUUAAUUCGAUGCUGAAACUCGUAUCAAUUCCUCAUAAUCUGUUUUUAUUUAGCGUAUGAGGUAAUCUUGAACUUUGUAACCUUUUGCAGUUUUCUCUUCUGUACUGCUUUAUCAGUAAAAUGUACUUGGAUAAAAAAAGAAGGAAUGUCUAUAUCAUUAAAUAACUUAAGGUUUUGAACCAGAUGAGAUUGUUGAGGACUCUCACAACAAGUAUAUAUUUUUCACGAGCACAAUCAGGUUAGGUGAUGAUUAAGCAACAUAUAUGAUCUCUGAAUAUGUGGUUAUGUCCGUCCAAAAGACGAUAACUAUACAAACUACGCGGUCUGAUGCAAAUUCUUGGUCAUAAUCUGGAGGCGAUGGAACAAAAUUGGGCAUUUAUAGAAAUUUAAUUUUCCAUGUUUUUGGUCUGGAUCAAGUUAAAUGUGGCAGUUUCAAUUCUCUGCAAAACAUAAAUUUCAACAUAUAAUAUUACUCUUCAUUUUCUUAAAACAAAAGAACGUGUGAUAGGAACAUGAUGAAAAUAAAUUUAAGAAGGAGAUCCACGUCUCAUGUUUAAAGAGAAUAUAAAAAAAUAGUUCACGUGAUCCUUAAAACUUCACAAAAUAGAAGAUGUCACACUCCCUUUUUCAUACUCCAAAAAAGAUUAAUUCUAAAGUUUUGAAAGGAUUUUUAUUGUUAAAGUGACAAAAGUGAAGAUUUGUUUCGAAAAGGACUUUUUAUAUUUAAAACUCAGAGUCGCCACUUGGCAUAAUCCGGUGUGCCAAGUCACCUUUGGACAAUCCUUUUCAAAACAAUUUGACUCUUUAAAACUGGUUUGCAAACAGAGAUUCCGGCUAAGGAAUUCUGUUGACCGAGGGGAAGGUGUUAGGCACCCCUCGAUCCCGUGGAUUGACCACGGUCGCUUGGUGGAGCGUAUCGACUGAUUUGACACUAAAAACGUAUAAACCACACAAAAACACACAAAACAAUCAAACAAACAAAAAUAAAACAAUCUGAAAAUAUAGUGUCCAGUCCGAAUUAUACAGUCCCAAAAAUAUAAAAAUACAAAAAUGUAACUCCUAUUCUAAACUAAUUCUAAACUAUUCUCCAAUACCUUACCCGAUGCGUCGGGCCUUGAUCACGAACAUCCUCCGAAUACAAAAUACUUCGGGGCAUUCCCCGGCCAAAUGAUACACUUGAUCCAAAUAAGAUAACAAAAAAAAGUUCAAAACACACAUUUAAACAUUCAAGGCAUUCAAUCAACACAUCACUCCUAAAUUUUUGCCUACCCAAACCUAUAUUGCCUAUUCAUUUCACCAUAUCGUAAAUCUAUCACGUUCAUGCUUAUCCCGAAUUAAAGAAAAUGGCAACGGAACAAAAUUUAACUACAAUCAACUUCUAUCAAAUUCUUAAUUACACCCCUAAAUUCAUUCUCAACUAAUGAUUAACCUAGCUUCGAUUAUCAAUUCAAUUUCUCGCACCCAAAUUCAACAUCAACCAGCAUCAACCAUACACACAGUAAAGGCUCAAGCAUGAUAAGCAUACCAAAACAUUCACGUCUGCAAGAACAAUCAAAAUUUGAGAUAAAAAUAGAGAAUGAAAGAAAUGGACCUCAAGUUUCUCUUUCAAAAUCAAUGUAUUAUUUCAAUUAAAUCCGACUUCUCCACAUCCGAAGCCUUUGAGUCGAACCUCAACAGCAGACCCAGUCCAAACUCGGUACUACCAAAAUUAAAACCCCGAACUGACCACAAUGAUCCAAUAUCUCGCUAAAAUCUAACGGAAAAUCAAACACCCGCAAGGUUCAAACUCCGAUGAGUCAUCGGUGAUGCAGACGACCAGAACAACCAGUCGCCGGACGGAUUCCAUCUGAAAUUGAAGAACAACGGAGGGAGGUUUGACCGUUUUAUACGAAUGACGAACGGAAGGGAUGACUCCGGCGAAUCUAUUGCCAGAACAGUAACCCGAAAUCAACCCUGCUUCCUUCUUCGUUAUGGAUCUAGACCUCUCUCACUCUAUCUCCCUCCCAUUCUCGAAUCUCUCUCUCUCUUUCUCUUCUCCCUCUCAUGAUCUUUCUCUCAAUCUCUCUGUGUGUCAUUUUCUAUUUUGUGAUGAGAAAACCAUGUGCGAAGCCUUUUCCGAUGACAACCAGUGUGUGAUAUAGAUUUAUGUGUUCUUAGUGGAAUCAGAUGGUGAGUAUGGGUAUGGUCAUGAAUGAAAAAUGAAGCUCUACCAUUGUUGUGAUAUGCGUGUAUGGUAUUUUAGUGGUGUCAGGUGGGUGUUAAUGGUGGAGUGAUGGUUUUGUCAUGGUGUUAAUGGAGUGUGUGCGAUGGUGCUGAUUGUGAGGGAAUUUUGUGAAGGUGUCUGUGGUAAUUGUAUAUUCCUUUUUAUUUGUGAGAGUGUAUAUAUAUUAUAUUUUGUUCCCUUAAAACAAAAUGGUUCCUUGUGGGCUUUCCUGGAAGUUUCCUAGUGGGCCCCUUUCUAAUUUUUAUCCCUUUUUGCCUUUGUGGACAAGAAAUAUGAGGGGGAGGGGGUCACGUGGGUAUGGGGUAUUGGGGGUAGGGGUAUGGGUAAUUUGUCUUCUUUUAAUUGAAAGGGUUGUUAGGAUGUUAAAAGAAUAAAAGUUUGUUAGGAAUUUUGUUGAGAGUUAUUUUUUUGUAUUUUUAUGGGAUGUAAUUACAUGGGAGAGGGUACACGGUAGGAUAAGGUAAAAAUGGAGAAAACGAUAUCGGGGAGGGACGAAAUUACAUGUCUACAUCAUGCUCCCUUUGAAUGUAAACACGCAGUGUUUUCAGACAAAGAAGUAAACAACGAGACCAAAUUUUAUCUCGAUCAUUAUUCAAAGAGAGGAGUAAAAGAAAGAAAGACAACCGAAUCCUUUAGGACACCCUACCUACCCAAGUCAUGAGGAAGUUAAGUGAUAGGUGUUUCAAAGGAUUGGAAAGAGAUGGACUAUACCGAGUUGGAGAGUCGAGUGAGGUUCCAUAGAGGUUUCAAAACACACAUUUAAACAUUCAAGGCAUUCAAUCAACACAUCACUCCUAAAUUUUUGCCUACCCAAACCUAUAUUGCCUAUUCAUUUCACCAUAUCGUAAAUCUAUCACGUUCAUGCUUAUCCCGAAUUAAAGAAAAUGGCAACGGAACAAAAUUUAACUACAAUCAACUUCUAUCAAAUUCUUAAUUACACCCCUAAAUUCAUUCUCAACUAAUGAUUAACCUAGCUUCGAUUAUCAAUUCAAUUUCUCGCACCCAAAUUCAACAUCAACCAGCAUCAACCAUACACACAGUAAAGGCUCAAGCAUGAUAAGCAUACCAAAACAUUCACGUCUGCAAGAACAAUCAAAAUUUGAGAUAAAAAUAGAGAAUGAAAGAAAUGGACCUCAAGUUUCUCUUUCAAAAUCAAUGUAUUAUUUCAAUUAAAUCCGACUUCUCCACAUCCGAAGCCUUUGAGUCGAACCUCAACAGCAGACCCAGUCCAAACUCGGUACUACCAAAAUUAAAACCCCGAACUGACCACAAUGAUCCAAUAUCUCGCUAAAAUCUAACGGAAAAUCAAACACCCGCAAGGUUCAAACUCCGAUGAGUCAUCGGUGAUGCAGACGACCAGAACAACCAGUCGCCGGACGGAUUCCAUCUGAAAUUGAAGAACAACGGAGGGAGGUUUGACCGUUUUAUACGAAUGACGAACGGAAGGGAUGACUCCGGCGAAUCUAUUGCCAGAACAGUAACCCGAAAUCAACCCUGCUUCCUUCUUCGUUAUGGAUCUAGACCUCUCUCACUCUAUCUCCCUCCCAUUCUCGAAUCUCUCUCUCUCUUUCUCUUCUCCCUCUCAUGAUCUUUCUCUCAAUCUCUCUGUGUGUCAUUUUCUAUUUUGUGAUGAGAAAACCAUGUGCGAAGCCUUUUCCGAUGACAACCAGUGUGUGAUAUAGAUUUAUGUGUUCUUAGUGGAAUCAGAUGGUGAGUAUGGGUAUGGUCAUGAAUGAAAAAUGAAGCUCUACCAUUGUUGUGAUAUGCGUGUAUGGUAUUUUAGUGGUGUCAGGUGGGUGUUAAUGGUGGAGUGAUGGUUUUGUCAUGGUGUUAAUGGAGUGUGUGCGAUGGUGCUGAUUGUGAGGGAAUUUUGUGAAGGUGUCUGUGGUAAUUGUAUAUUCCUUUUUAU